GCGCCUGUGGCUGGAAUCGGUAGACGCAGCGGUUUAGAAAACCGCCACCCUGGACGGGGUAUGUGAGUUCGAAUCUCACCGGGCGCA
Molecule: transfer RNA, 87 nt
Filed under: Gammaproteobacteria bacterium
Lineage: Bacteria; Pseudomonadati; Pseudomonadota; Gammaproteobacteria
Description: tRNA-Ser
Rfam family: tRNA
About the family: Transfer RNA (tRNA) molecules are approximately 80 nucleotides in length. Their secondary structure includes four short double-helical elements and three loops (D, anti-codon, and T loops). Further hydrogen bonds mediate the characteristic L-shaped molecular structure. tRNAs have two regions of fundamental functional importance: the anti-codon, which is responsible for specific mRNA codon recognition, and the 3' end, to which the tRNAs corresponding amino acid is attached (by aminoacyl-tRNA synthetases). tRNAs cope with the degeneracy of the genetic code in two manners: having more than one tRNA (with a specific anti-codon) for a particular amino acid; and 'wobble' base-pairing, i.e. permitting non-standard base-pairing at the 3rd anti-codon position.
Source: RNAcentral